RNAcentral lists this ribosomal RNA (980 nucleotides) under Iberobathynella sp. ABI-2015. RNAcentral's name for it is "SSU rRNA". It matches the Rfam family "Eukaryotic small subunit ribosomal RNA", at positions 1 to 964 of the family's 1831-position model. Lineage: Eukaryota; Metazoa; Arthropoda; Malacostraca; Bathynellacea; Parabathynellidae. The record is from RNAcentral.
UUACCUGGUUUGAUCCUGCCAGUAGUCAUAUGCUUGUCUCAAAGAUUAAGCCAUGCAUGUCUAAGUACAGGCCGAACCAAGGCGAAACCGCGAAUGGCUCAUUAAAUCAGUUAUGGUUCAUUGGAUCUUACCUUGUUUUACUUGGAUAACUGUGGUAAUUCUAGAGCUAAUACGUGACACUCCAGCUCCGACCGCAAGGAAAGAGCGCUUUUAUUAGAUCAAAACCAAUCGGGCUUCGGUCCGUUCUCACUGUGGUGACUCUGAAUAACUUUGAGCUGAGCGCAUGGUCUUCGAACCGGCGCCGUAUCCUUCAAGUGUCUGCCUUAUCAGCUUUCGAUUGUAGGUUAUGCGCCUACAAUGGCUAUAACGGGUAACGGGGAAUCAGGGUUCGAUUCCGGAGAGGGAGCCUGAGAAACGGCUACCACAUCUAAGGGAGGCAGCAGGCACGCAAAUUACCCACUCCCGGCUCGGGGAGGUAGUGACGAAAAAUAACGAUGCGGGACUCUUCCGAGGCCUCGCAAUCGGAAUGAGCACACUUUAAAUCCUUUAACGAGGAUCUAUUGGAGGGCAAGUCUGGUGCCAGCAGCCGCGGUAAUUCCAGCUCCAAUAGCGUAUAUUAAAGUUGCUGCGGUUAAAAAGCUCGUAGUUGGAUCUCAGUUCCGGACCGACGGUUCACCGCCCGGUGCUUACUGUCGGCUUCCGAACAGCCGCACGCCGGCUCGGCCAGGGUGCUCUUCAUCGAGUGUCCUGGUUUCGGCCGGCACGUUUACUUUGAAAAAAUUAGAGUGCUCAGCGCAGGCUGCAACGCCUGAAUAAUCUGUGCAUGGAAUAAUGGAAUAGGACCUCGGUUCUAUUUUGUUGGUUUUCGGAACCCGAGGUAAUGAUUAAUAGGAACUGUCGGGGGCAUUCGUAUUGCGACGUUAGAGGUGAAAUUCUUGGAUCGUCGCAAGACGGACUACUGCGAAAGCAUUUGCCAAGAA